Molecule: ribosomal RNA, 496 nt
Filed under: uncultured bacterium
Lineage: Bacteria
Description: bacterial SSU rRNA
Rfam family: Bacterial small subunit ribosomal RNA
Source: RNAcentral
CGCGAAGCUCCUUUCGGGGAGCAAGUAGAGUGGCGCACGGGUGAGUAACACGUAGGUAAUCUACCUUUGGAUGGGGAAUAACAACCGGAAACGGUUGCUAAUACCGCAUAAUGCAGCGGCACCUAAUGGUGACAGUUGUUAAAGCGGGGGAUCGAAAGACCUCGCGUCUAAAGAGGAGCCUGCGGCAGAUUAGCUAGUUGGUAAGGUAACGGCUUACCAAGGCGAUGAUCUGUAGCCGGCCUGAGAGGGCGGUCGGCCACACUGACACUGACAUACGGGUCAGACUCCUACGGGAGGCAGCAGUCGGGAAUUUUGGGCAAUGGGCGAAAGCCUGACCCAGCAACGCCGCGUGAAGGAUGAAAUCCCUCGGGAUGUAAACUUCGCAAGAACGGGAAGAAUAAGUAAGGGUUAAUAUCCCUUACGAUGACGGUACUGUUUGUAAGCUCCGGCUAACUCCGUGCCAGCAGCCGCGGUAAUACGGGGGGAGCAAGCGUUG